Molecule: ribosomal RNA, 703 nt
Filed under: uncultured fungus
Lineage: Eukaryota; Fungi
Description: SSU rRNA
Rfam family: Eukaryotic small subunit ribosomal RNA
Source: RNAcentral
CAUGGUGGUAACGGGUAACGGGGUGUUAGGGCACGACACCGGAGAGGGAGCCUGAGAAACGGCUACCACAUCCAAGGAUGGCAGCAGGCGCGCAAAUUACCCAAUCCCGACACGGGGAGGUAGUGACAAUAAAUAACAAUACGGGGUUCUUUAGGAUAAUUGGAAUGAGUACAAUUUAAAUCUCUUAACGAGGAACAAUUGGAGGGCAAGUCUGGUGCCAGCAGCCGCGGUAAUUCCAGCUCCAAUAGCGUAUAUUAAAGUUGUUGCAGUUAAAAAGCUCGUAGUUGAAUUUCGGGGUUAGUAGGUUGGUCAUGCCUCUGGUAUGUACUGGUCUCACUGAUUCCUCCUUCCUUAUGAACCGUAAUGCCAUUAAUUUGGUGUUGCGGGGAAUUUGGACUGUUACUUUGAAAAAAUUAGAGUGUUUAAAGCAAGCUAACGCUUGAAUACAUUAGCAUGGAAUAAUGAAAUAGGACGUUCGAUCUUAUUUUGUUGGUUUCUAGGAUUGACGUAAUGAUUAAUAGGGAUAGUUGGGGGCAUUAGUAUUCAAUUGUCAGAGGUGAAAUUCUUGGAUUUAUUGAAGACUAACUACUGCGAAAGCAUUUGCCAAGGAUGUUUUCAUUAAUCAAGAACGAAAGUUAGGGGAUCGAAGACGAUCAGAUACCGUCGUAGUCUUAACCAUAAACUAUGCCGACUAGGGAUCGGA